This 353-nucleotide ribosomal RNA is filed under the name uncultured Racocetra. Its description in RNAcentral is "SSU rRNA". It matches the Rfam family "Eukaryotic small subunit ribosomal RNA", at positions 569 to 929 of the family's 1831-position model. The record is from RNAcentral. Lineage: Eukaryota; Fungi; Glomeromycota; Glomeromycetes; Diversisporales; Gigasporaceae.
AGCAGCCGCGGUAAUUCCAGCUCCAAUAGCGUAUAUUAAGGUUGUUGCAGUUAAAAAGCUCGUAGUUGAAUUUCGGGGUUCUACCGUUGGUCGGGCUAUUGUCUGUACUGGCGUGUAGAAUUUCUACCUUCUGGGGAACUAUCAUGUUAUUAAUUUAGCGUGGUAGGAAACCAGGACCUUUACCUUGAAAAAAUUAGAGUGUUCAAAGCAGGCUUAUGUCUGAAUACAUUAGCAUGGAAUAAUAAAAUAGGACGGUGGUCCUGUUUUGUUGGUUUCUGAAUCACCGUAAUGAUUAAUAGGGAUAGUUGGGGGCAUUAGUAUUCAAUUGUCAGAGGUGAAAUUCUUGGAUGUAU